UAGGGAAUCUUCCGCAAUGGGCGAAAGCCUGACGGAGCAACGCCGCGUGAGUGAUGAAGGUCUUCGGAUCGUAAAACUCUGUUAUUAGGGAAGAACAAAUGUGUAAGUAACUAUGCACGUCUUGACGGUACCUAAUCAGAAAGCCACGGCUAACUACGUGCCAGCAGCCGCGGUAAUACGUAGGUGGCAAGCGUUAUCCGGAAUUAUUGGGCGUAAAGCGCGCGUAGGCGGUUUUUUAAGUCUGAUGUGAAAGCCCACGGCUCAACCGUGGAGGGUCAUUGGAAACUGGAAAACUUGAGUGCAGAAGAGGAAAGUGGAAUUCCAUGUGUAGCGGUGAAAUGCGCAGAGAUAUGGAGGAACACCAGUGGCGAAGGCGACUUUCUGGUCUGUAACUGACGCUGAUGUCCGAAAGCGUGGGGAUCAAACAGG
RNAcentral lists this ribosomal RNA (429 nucleotides) under Actinomycetes bacterium. RNAcentral describes it as "Actinobacteria bacterium partial 16S ribosomal RNA". It matches the Rfam family "Bacterial small subunit ribosomal RNA", at positions 355 to 776 of the family's 1533-position model. Lineage: Bacteria; Bacillati; Actinomycetota; Actinomycetes. The record is from RNAcentral.